AUUGAACGCUGGCGGCAUGCUUUACACAUGCAAGUCGAACGGUAACAGGCCGCCAGGUGCUGCCGAGUGGCGAACGGGUGAGUAAUGCAUCGGAACGUGCCCAGUCGUUGGGGAUAACUACUCGAAAGAGUAGCUAAUACCGCAUACGAUCUAUGGAUGAAAGCGGGGGACCGUAAGGCCUCGCGCGAUUGGAUCGGCCGAUGUCAGAUUAGGUAGUUGGGGGGGUAAAGGCUCACCAAGCCAACGAUCUGUAGCUGGUAUGAGAGGACGACCAGCCACACUGGGACUGAGACACGGCCGAGACUCCUGCGGGGGGCAGCAGCGGGGAAUUUUGGACGAGGGGGGAGAGGCUGAUCCAGCAAUGCCGCGUGAAGGAAGAUGGCGUUCGGGUUGUAGACUGCUUUUGUACGGAACGAAACGGCUCUGGUUAAUACCCGGGGAUAAUGACGGUACCGGAAGAAUAAGCACCGGCUAACUACGUG
This 482-nucleotide ribosomal RNA is filed under the name uncultured bacterium. RNAcentral's name for it is "partial 16S ribosomal RNA". It matches the Rfam family "Bacterial small subunit ribosomal RNA", at positions 29 to 507 of the family's 1533-position model. The record is from RNAcentral.